RNAcentral lists this unclassified non-coding RNA (689 nucleotides) under uncultured Prochlorococcus sp. RNAcentral's name for it is "partial may contain 16S ribosomal RNA, 16S-23S ribosomal RNA intergenic spacer, and 23S ribosomal RNA". The stretch from base 1 to 96 matches the Rfam family "Bacterial small subunit ribosomal RNA", at positions 1438 to 1533 of the family's 1533-position model. The record is from RNAcentral. Lineage: Bacteria; Bacillati; Cyanobacteriota; Cyanophyceae; Synechococcales; Prochlorococcaceae.
CCCUUGUGGAGGAGGACGCCGAAGGUGGGGCUAAUGACUGGGGUGAAGUCGUAACAAGGUAGCCGUACCGGAAGGUGCGGCUGGAUCACCUCCUAACAGGGAGACAACAAAAUGUUAAAUAUUAAUUUUGUCACCUUAGGUCGAUCGGUAUCUCACAUUCUUAAUUUAUUUAAGGAUUUCAUUUCCUAAGUUUUUUCUAGGUCACACCCAUUACUUUUCCCUGGGCCAUUAGCUCAGGUGGUUAGAGCGCACCCCUGAUAAGGGUGAGGUCCCUGGUUCAAGUCCAGGAUGGCCCAUAUCUCUAUGUUGGGGGUAUAGCUCAGUUGGUAGAGCGCCUGCUUUGCAAGCAGGAUGUCAGCGGUUCGAGUCCGCUUACCUCCACUGAUCACCACCUCUUCCAUAAUUUAUAGAAGGGAAAUGUUUGGAGUUGUGAUCAAAUUCUGAACGAAUCUAGCUUCCUAAUCAAACUUAUUAAGAUGCUGGACUCAUUGAAUUAAUUUCAUUGUUUUCAGAGAACCUUGACAACUGCAUAGAUUAUUUUUAAAGACAAUAAGCAUCUUUAAUGAUGCAGAUUUAUUAUUUGUGCGAAUGCAUUAAUAACAAUUCUAUUAAGCUGAUGCUUCAAUUUUUGAAGUUAUUGGUCAAGCUACAAAGGGCUCACGGAGGAUACCUAGGCACACAGAGGCGAU